AAGACACCCACCUAAGGUCCUCCUUCAGAGUCCUUUUCAAUGGAAUAUCUUUUUCUGAUUUUAGUGGGAAGAACCAGAAGACGGUGUCUGCCCUCACUUCAUCUUCCCCUGAAUACCCCUCUUACAUCAUCUCUCAGGAGCAACACCCUCCCCAACAGAAAGAGGAGGAGGAAGAGGAGGAGGAGGAGCUGUUGCCCCACUUGUUGCUGCCAGAAAGCAUUGACCUGUUGGAGAAAGUAGACCGAAAAUAUAAAAAGAAGAAAAAGAAGCAACAGAAGAAACAGCGGCUGCGUCAGUUCAAUGACCUCUGGGUACGCAUCGAGGAAAGCACCACUGAUCCACCACCUCGCAUUCGAAUAAUUAACGGCUACAUCACCGUAGAACCCCAGCCACGUGGGCGUGGACGAUCUAGUCACAUCCCGGCAAAUGCAAACUGCUCCAGUGCGCUGCUCCCAUUCCUUUCUACCUUGGCAUUGACUUUGGUGUUGUCUACAGUGACGAUUCUGCUGCUGGUGUGAAUCUCUCACAAAGAACUGCAUAAUUCCCCCCAUUUUAAAAAAUGGAUCUGGUGUGGAAAUGAAGAGGGUGGGUGGAAGAAAGACUUUUUUGAGUGAGAGAUCAUCUGUGUGGUGCUUGGGUUUUUUUUUUAAAGAGGCCUCAUCCUUUUCCUGAAUCUGGACCAUUAAUGUGAUUAACUGGCUUGCCCAAUACAGGAGAAGAUAUUUUUAAUGAAAGCCAUUAUUUAUCCUUCUCUUGCAGAAGAAUUAUUUCAUGUUAUCCCAUAAUGAUUUUGGGAGAUGUAUAUGUAACAUAGCUGUUAUUUAGCUGUAUGAAUGGAAAUGAAGGGGGGUGGUGGAAGAAAGACAUUUUUGAAUGAGAGAUCAUCUGUGCGGUGCUUGGUUUUUUUUUUUUUUAAGAGGUCUCAUCCUUUUCCUGAAUCUGGACCAUUAAUGUGAUUAACUGGCUUGCCCAAUACAGGAGAAGAUAUUUUUAAUGAAAGCCAUUAUUUAUCCUUCUCUUGCAGAAGAAUUAUUUCAUGUUAUCCCAUAAUGAUUUUGGGAGAUGUAUAUGUAACAUAGCUGUUAUUUAGCUGUAUGAAAUUGACUAAAAUACACUUUGUUUUGCAAUUUGUUGAUUCCACAUCAUUUCCUAUCUGGUGGUAAAGAAAGAAAGCUUUGCCAGCAGAAAGCGGUGACAACCUGAGUAAAGAUAGUACAGGCUUGUCUAUGCGGCUGGGCUGGAGUGGGCUGGAGCACGCUAAAUAGGAUUUCUAGAAGGUCUGCUAUACCAUUUUGUGUAGUCCUUGCAUCCAAUGGCAUAUAGAACUCAAGCAAUUCUAUUUGGUUUACAAUAGCCUGCUGUCAAUUUGCCAGCAUCAUGGAGUGGCUCAAAAGGAAAGCCAGUUUGUGAUAU
RNAcentral lists this long non-coding RNA (1413 nucleotides) under Pogona vitticeps (central bearded dragon). RNAcentral's name for it is "lncRNA (ENSPVIG00000003492.1)". The record is from RNAcentral. Lineage: Eukaryota; Metazoa; Chordata; Lepidosauria; Squamata; Agamidae.